UACGUAGGGGCGAGCGUUGUCCGGAAUGAUUGGGCGUAAAGGGCGCGCAGGCGGCCUGUCAAGUCAGUAGUGGAAUACCAUUUUUCUAAGGAUGGAAGUGCUAUAGAAACUGAUGGGCUUGAGUGCAGAAGAGGGAAGUGGAAUUCCAUGUGUAGCGGUGAAAUGCGUAGAGAUAUGGAGGAACACCAGUGGCGAAGGCGGCUUCCUGGUCUGUAACUGACACUGAGGCGCGAAAGCGUGGGGAGCAAACAGGAUUA
Molecule: ribosomal RNA, 257 nt
Filed under: uncultured prokaryote
Description: partial 16S ribosomal RNA
Rfam family: Bacterial small subunit ribosomal RNA
Source: RNAcentral